RNAcentral lists this ribosomal RNA (490 nucleotides) under uncultured bacterium. Its description in RNAcentral is "bacterial SSU rRNA". It matches the Rfam family "Bacterial small subunit ribosomal RNA", at positions 20 to 507 of the family's 1533-position model. The record is from RNAcentral.
UGGCUCAGGACGAACGCUGGCGGCGUGCUUAACACAUGCAAGUCGAACGAGAAUCUGCGGAAAGAGGAUUCGUCCAAUUGAAGCAGAGGACAGUGGCGGACGGGUGAGUAACGCGUGAGGAACCUGCCUUUCAGAGGGGGACAACAGUUGGAAACGACUGCUAAUACCGCAUAAGAUUACAGUACCGCAUGAUACAGUGAUCAAAGGAGCAAUCCGCUGAAAGAUGGGCUCGCGUCCGAUUAGAUAGUUGGUGAGGUAACGGCUCACCAAGUCGACGAUCGGUAGCCGGACUGAGAGGUUGAACGGCCACAUUGGGACUGAGACACGGCCCAGACUCCUACGGGAGGCAGCAGUGGGGAAUAUUGCACAAUGGGCGAAAGCCUGAUGCAGCAACGCCGCGUGAGGGAAGACGGUUUUCGGAUUGUAAACCUCUGUUUUCGGUGACGAACAAAUGACGGUAACCGAGUAGGAAGCCACGGCUAACUACGUG